RNAcentral lists this unclassified non-coding RNA (253 nucleotides) under uncultured Flavobacteriaceae bacterium. Its description in RNAcentral is "contains 16S-23S intergenic spacer region". It matches the Rfam family "Bacterial small subunit ribosomal RNA", at positions 524 to 776 of the family's 1533-position model. The record is from RNAcentral. Lineage: Bacteria; Pseudomonadati; Bacteroidota; Flavobacteriia; Flavobacteriales; Flavobacteriaceae.
UACGGAGGAUCCAAGCGUUAUCCGGAAUCAUUGGGUUUAAAGGGUCCGUAGGCGGGUUAAUAAGUCAGUGGUGAAAGUCUGCAGCUCAACUGUAGAACUGCCAUUGAUACUGUUGUUCUUGAGUGCUUAUGAAGUGGUUAGAAUAUGUAGUGCAGCGGUGAAAUGCAUAGAUAUUACAUAGAAUACCGAUUGCGAAGGCAGAUCACUAAUAAUUUACUGACACUGAUGGACGAAAGCGUAGGUCACGAACCGG